UGCGCUCGGAAUGUCUGGACUUUUAACAACUUACAUGAUCUUUGGGAGACGGGCGUAUGGUCUAAUUUUCUAUAAACAGCCACUGAAAUUUUGGUCUGAAUUCGUCAGUUCCUUGAAAAAAAUUGAAGGACCGGCAGGAACAGAAAGCAUUUUCAAGUCCUCGAUAUUCAUCAGGAUCAAGCUAUCCAUCAGCCGAACGGUGACCGUAAAUUGCAUGGCUACGUCAAUCUUUGCUCUAUAUUUUGUAUCAACUUUUGCCUUCAGUCAUGCAGCAGAAUUGGAAAAACCAGGGGGUCACCUAUUAUUUUUUGUACAUAUGAUAGUUUCCACGAUGUGGAAUGUUUAUCAAUGUCUCCACUUUUUUAUGACGGCUUGGACGACAUUCCCCCUAAAAAUUGUGCAAGGAUUGUUGGAAACUCUGAAAGGAGAAUUGGACCAGGAACUGAGUGAAACAAAGCUGAAAAAAUCGCCUCAGUUGAGACAAACUUGGAUUCAAGAUUAUCGAAAAAUUAGUGAAAUUCUCAAAUUGUAUACGCGUCACUUUGAGAAAAGCUUGAUUAGCGAAAUAGCUUACAACUCGGUGCAGAUAUUGUGUCAAUGCUUUUCUGGAUUUUCGUGGAUUUUAUCGGGCAUGAUUUCGCCAACAAUUUCUCGGAGUAUUCCGGUCAUGCUGGGUCUAAGGACACUUUAUCAAUUGUCUAAUGAAGCUGAAAAUGUGAGCGUCUUGCAUGGAGAAAUCUAUGAAAGGUUGUGUCGUAUCGAGGUGGAUUUGGACAAUGAGGAAAUGAGACUGAUGGUGAAAUCUUUAUUGAGGGAAAUGACGCUUGAUCAUCUCGCUGUGGAACCCGGAAAAUUUUUCACUAUGAACCGGAAACUGAUUACUUCUAUUUGGUCAACAAUUAUAACUUUCAUGGUUAUCCUUAUCCAAUUCCGGGAUGGGGAAGGAUCGUCUUGAAGCAACUCAUGCAUAAUACUUUCAGCUUGCAAAAUUCCACUUUCCUAAAUACAUUGCUUUACAUAUACAUAAAUAUUCAGUUAGUGCAUGAAUGGAGCUUCAUUUGCUCCUUAACUUUUCAAAUGUUUAGCUGUCAUGCACAUCUUACAUCUCUAAACAUUAAACACAUUAAGUGUGUACCUUAUUACUAUGCGUAUAAUAAUAUUGCAAGGUAAACAUCCGUUGCAUUAUUAAUAUAAAGUUUAAGGCAAGUCAUGUCAAAUACUUACUAGUAGUUCGACAGCCUGUAAAUUCGCAAGUCAUAACAUAAUAAUAUUUAGCAUUCUUCACCACCACCACUUGAAAUAUUUACGAGGACAAUUUCUUAAACAAUUCACCAACCAACCAAUAAUGUUUAACAAACACUUUAAUAAUAUUUAAGCGGUUUUCAAUAACUAUCCAAUAAAAUGACACACAAUCGCAUCGACUAAACGAUUUAGCUUCAUAUGCAUGUACAUUCGCUUUGCUUUACAUGCACCUUCCCAAAACCAGGCUCAGAGCACUCAUUUUGCACGGCUACAUACAUUUGCAUUUCGGAAUGGCACGUAGUUUAGUUUGUUGAGUUACAUAUAUGGCGUGGCCAGAGUAAGCAUUGUUAGUUUUUUAUUGCAUGUCGUGCCUGCGAUUGUGGUCUCCCCGAUCAUCUCGAGUUUAUAACAUGUCGAGUGUUUUGUGCACGUAAAUUUUGGCGUUUGUUAUGCAUUCCGUCCCCCUAAGAGACAGCGCCGUAGCAUAAAUUGAAACCUUGUAUGUACAUAAUUUCUCUUUGUUUCCUCCUCCAGUUUUGUCAAUUUUCUAACUUGGCCGAGAACUGUUAAUUAGUCAAAUUAUCCGUUAUGCUAAUUGGUGCACAAGGUCCUCCCACGCAAAACUUAACAUUUAUGUAUGCAUUUCGCCACAAAAUUUAAACAUGCUAAUUGCUUACACAUCACCCACCAGUGACUGAAUGAUAAUGAGAUUUGUCUGACUCAUUUUUGUUGAUCAUCUCAUUUAGCAGAUGCAGUUUUUAAACACUUUAUCCUCGUCUCAUCUCAUCACUUCACCUGUUCCUCCAGACCAAUCGAAUCUGUGUACACACACAAAUUCAUUAUUCACCUUGAUCAUUACAUGUUUAAACCUAGGCUCAAAUUUCCAUUCAUUUCAUUAUUAUGUCAAUCUGGAUAAAUUCUGCUUCCUUUCUUUCGCCCAUCAAAUCCACAACGCACGGCAUAAAUAUUCAUGACCCUCUCGACGAUCAUCCUGCUUGGCUUUUCCGUUCUCCUUAUACUUAGCAAUAAUUUAUUUAAUGCUCUGGUGCCAAUUUGCACUUCUGGACUGAAAUAUGAAGAUUGGAGAAUGAAUGACUACGGCCCACUCGCAAUACGCAACCAAACCAAACCACCAAACUUUUUAGCCAAGUGAUGCUUCUGCCUCUGCUCAUUGUUGAAUUGAUUCGCAGAAAAUGGCAUACUAAAAGUAUUAGCAUACUUCAUCCUAUGCUUAUUAUUGCGACGAUGGCACGACCACCACCAGAAACGCUUAGCUUAUUGCCUUAUUGCACCUUUAAAUCAACUCAUUACUUGGUUUGGUUGGUGGGGUAAGGUUCGCCCGGAGGCAGUGGAGGUACAAUAAUAUUUGCGCUCUUCUCUAGUGCUACGUACCUUAAAGAAGCAAAGUUUAGUGGUUUGGUUUCUGCACCUGUGCUACAUUGCACUCUGGUAGUGCUAAGUUUUUUUUAGGGAAUAUUUGCAAAAUGCGACAAUUUGCGACAUAAUUUUCGUAACUGUGUAUAGAUUUUAAAGUUAUAUAAUGGGUUGACAAGUUUAGUUUCCUGAAUAAUGGGAACAUUCAGUGGACUCACAUUUUUGAAGAGAGGGUGCACCAGGAAAUUGACACUAUUGCCAUCAAUUUUAUUAGUGGGGGUUGUUUCGAGCUUAUUAUUUCCACGGCCAGGAUUUGCUCAUUUGAAUUUGAGCAAGCAAUGUGGCGAGCUGACUUGUCCAGCGAACGAGUAUUGCAGAGAAUUCGAUCACACUUGCAGCCCUUGUACAAGCAUUUGUAAAGAAGGAAGUAACAAUUUUAGUAAAGACACGUGCGAAUCUGGAUGCCAAGAUUAUCUUCACGAUGAACGAUACAUCCGGAUCCAAAAUAAUUCUGGCGGAGAAGAUAUCGCAUCCCUUUACCGUUCGCUACAGAGGGACAUCUUCGUCCUAAAAGUCCUCGUUGGAGUUUGUCUAGUCGUCAUUGCUCUAAUUCUUGCCGCGUUUAUCGCGUCCGUCACCUACUUUUGGCGAUCCGUUCAUCCCAACGGUGGUUCUACUAGUUCAAAAUCUGGUAGUGGAAGUGGAGAUGCUCAAAAGAACAAACCAGAGAAUAAAAACGACGAGAAAAAGAAGGCGAUGGAACUUCCAGUGAUUUAUGAUAACAAGUAUGGUAUCUGCCACUCUCCUGGAUCGCCUCGUCGACGUGGGGGCGCUGUAGAGCAGAAUGUUGAUACGGGUUCUCAACGUCAAAGUCCCUCCAAAGUUUCCGAAACGGAGACGAUGAACUCGGUAAAUAGUGCAAAGAGUAACGGAGCAAGGACAAUGUCCACUUUGGUCAACUCGAGUGGAACCACCACCCCCAACGGGAUCAAUAACAAUCGAUUCCGCAGAGAACCAUCAGAGUCCACGAUACCGGAAUAUAUCGCGUGCGGCAGUGACAAUGCAUCCUUAUCGCCUGCGCAUGGGCAGGGAAUUUAUACCCAUCACGUUUAAAGUAUUUGAAAUCUAAUGUAUCAUAAAAAUUUUAGGGAGAAGUCAACAACCUUAAAUUUUGUAUGGUAUUGAUAAGUUGAUAAGCGAUAAUCAUAUGAUAAGUGAUACCAUCCAUGUAGAGCUAAAGUAGUUUUGAGCUAUUUUAAAAAUCAAGGACUUGAACUGAGUUGGGGAGUAAAAGUAGUUAUCACGCAGAUAAGAUUAAUAUUUCGUUGCAAUUUUCCAACUGCUAUUUUUUAGACUUGUUGUAUGUUACAAUGUAUGUAGAAACUAUGUAAGGAAAAGUAUAUAGGUUAUCUACGUACGUUACGAGACCACGAGUACGAAGGGUAUGCCCCGAGUCUCGGUCAAUCACUUGGUGUCUAUGCAAUUAUUAAACCCAAAAUACCUGUACUAA
Molecule: RNA transcript, 4126 nt
Organism: Folsomia candida
Lineage: Eukaryota; Metazoa; Arthropoda; Collembola; Entomobryomorpha; Isotomidae
Exons: 7
Source: RefSeq, a predicted model, not a curated record